GACGAACGCUGGCGGCGUGCUUAACACAUGCAAGUCGAACGGUAAGGCCCUUCGGGGUACACGAGUGGCGAACGGGUGAGUAACGCGUGAGUAACCUGCCCUUCACUCUGGGAUAACAGUUGGAAACGGCUGCUAAUACCGGAUAUUCAGCUCCUGUCGCAUGGUGGGGGUUGGAAAGUUUUGGUGGUGGAGGAUGGGCUCGCGUCCUAUCAGCUUGUUGGUGGGGUGAUGGCCUACCAAGGCGUCGACGGGUAGCCGGCCUGAGAGGGCGACCGGCCACAUUGGGACUGAGAUACGGCCCACACUCCUACGGGAGGCAGCAGUGGGGAAUAUUGCACAAUGGUCGGAAGCCUGAUGCAGCAACGCCGCGUGCGGGAUGACGGCCUUCGGGUUGUAAACCGCUUUCAGCAGAGACGAAGCGCAAGUGACGGUACCUGCAGAAGAAGCACCGGCUAACUACGUG
Molecule: ribosomal RNA, 463 nt
Filed under: uncultured bacterium
Lineage: Bacteria
Description: partial 16S ribosomal RNA
Rfam family: Bacterial small subunit ribosomal RNA
Source: RNAcentral